RNAcentral lists this ribosomal RNA (502 nucleotides) under uncultured bacterium. RNAcentral's name for it is "partial 16S ribosomal RNA". It matches the Rfam family "Bacterial small subunit ribosomal RNA", at positions 30 to 523 of the family's 1533-position model. The record is from RNAcentral.
AUUGAACGCUGGCGGCAUGCCUUACACACGCAAGUCGAACGGCAGCAUAGGAGCUUGCUCCUGAUGGCGAGUGGCGAACGGGUGAGUAAUAUAUCGGAACGUGCCCUAGAGUGGGGGAUAACUAGUCGAAAGAUUAGCUAAUACCGCAUACGAUUUAAGGAUGAAAGUGGGGGAUCGCAAGACCUCAUGCUCGUGGAGCGGCCGAUAUCUGAUUAGCUAGUUGGUGGGGUAAAAGCUCGCCAAGGCGACGAUCAGUAGCUGGUCUGAGAGGACGACCAGCCACACUGGGACUGAGACACGGCCCAGACUCCUACGGGAGGCAGCAGUGGGGAAUUUUGGACAAUGGGGGCAACCCUGAUCCAGCAAUGCCGCGUGAGUGAAGAAGGCCUUCGGGUUGUAAAGCUCUUUUGUCAGGGAAGAAACGGUGAGAGCUAAUAUCUCUUGCUAAUGACGGUACCUGAAGAAUAAGCACCGGCUAACUACGUGCCAGCCGCCGCAGUAA